This is a long non-coding RNA of Esox lucius (northern pike), 4936 nucleotides long. The record is from Ensembl. NCBI's taxonomy places the organism in Eukaryota, Metazoa, Chordata, Actinopteri, Esociformes, Esocidae.
CCUCCCUCUCCCAUCCCAGUCUCUCCAUCAGCCUCCCCCUCCUCCCUCUCUCCUUCUGUCAGCAUGGGUUUUGUUCCCUCUCUCUCUCUCUCUUUGUUUCCUUGUCACUUCAGAGAAGAAGCAGAAUUAGGAUCCAUUACACACACCUUGACACACCAGACACACCCUCUACAGAUGAGAUCAGGUCUGUGUGUUCCAUAGCAGCGGUGCCACUGUGGGAUGUAAUGGAGGAGUCUGUUGGGAAGAGCAGAGGUUGUAACUCCACCUAGUGUUCACUGGAGAAACUACAUCUGGAGGAGGCGCAGUGUCUUAUGUCCUCAUGUUUGAUAUAUGAUUAAUAUUCAAUGCAAAAUAUUAGGUUAACAUUUUGUAUUUUUUUAAAGCACAAGAAAUAAAAAAAUGUAAAGUUGGAAUUCAGGUGAGAGUCAGACAACAUAUCUUUCUGGAAGGAGGGGUGAAGGUGGUCUGGAGGUGAAGGAGGUGUGGUGGUGGGAGGUGUGGAGGAGGUCUGGAGGUGGAGGAGGUAUGGAGGGGGUCUGGAGUUGAAGGAGGUGUGGUGGUAGGAGGUGUGGAGGAGGUCUGGAGGUGGAGGAGGUAUGGAGGGGGUCUGGAGGUGGAGGAGGAGUGGUGGUGGGAGGUCUGGAGGUGGAGGAGGUGUGGUGGUGGGAGGUGAGGAGGAGGUCUGGAGGUGGAGGAGGUGUGGUGGUGGGAGGUGUGGAGGAGGUCUGGAGGUGGAGGAGGUCAAUCAAUCAAUCAAAUGUAUUUAUAAAGCCCUUUUUACAUCAGCAGUUGUCACAAAGUGCUUUUACAAAACACCCGGCCUUAAACCACAAGGAGCAAACAACUGAAGUGUUGUAGUGUUGCUAGAAAAAAGGGAAAAAAAGCAGUAAUUUAGGAAGAAACCUAGAGAGGACCCAGGCUCAGAGGGGGGACCAGUCGUCUUCUGGCUGUGCUGGGUGAACAUUUUAAGAGUACAAAUUGUAAUAAUUAAUAAAUGCAUGCGGGUUGAGUCCAGAGUCUAUUUAAACAUAGUCCAGGUCAGAAGCAUGACCAGAUGGACAAGGACAGGGACAACCCGGGAGGGGGGGGGCAGCAGAGUGGCAGGUGAAAUCUCAGCUAUCUUCUUAUUCUGCAACACAACCAGGAGGACUCUGGACAGGGACCAGGACCUCAUGUCCUCAGUCCUAAGUUUAAAACGGCAGGAGACAGGUAAAAUGUGGUGAUGAGAGCCCACCUGGCAAGACAGCAAGGGUGGACAGUAUGAAGACUUUCUGGUCACAUUCACGCCCCCGGGCCAGGCUACACCUAAUUAUAAACCGUGCUGUAGAGAUGAGUCUUUAGUAGACACUUGAAAGUUUGCACUGAGUUUGCAUUUCUAACCUUAAUUGGCAGAUCAUUCCACAGUAGUGGAGCUCUAUGAGAGAAGGCCCUGCCUCCGGCAGUUUGUUUAGAGAUUCUAGGUACAAUUAAAAGGCCUGCAUCUUGCGAUCGUAGGUCACGUGUAGGUAUGUAUGGCUGGAUCAUUUCAGCAAGGUAAGUAGGAGCAAGUCCAUGUAUUGAUUUAUAGGAGUAAAACCUUAAAAUCAGCGCUAACCCUAACAGGCAGCCAGUGUAAGGACGCUAGGACAGGAGUAAUGUGUUAAAAUUUUUAUGUUUUUUGAAGUUUAUUUAUAAAUUUUUCUGGAUAACCAGAGAGAAGAGCAUUGAAGUAAUCUAGUCUAGAAGUAACGAAAGCAUGGAUUACUUUUUCUGCAUCAGUUUUUGAUAGAAAGUUUCUGAUUUUUGCAAUGUUUCGAAGAUGAAAAUAAGCAACUCUUGAGACAUAUUUUAUUUGUUCUUCAAAGGAGAGGUCAGGGUCAAGGGUAACGCCAAGGUUUUUUACAGUUUUUUGGGAUACGACCAUGCAGCCGUCGAGGUUCACAGUGUGCUCUGCUAACAACGCUCUUUGUUUUUUGGGUCCUAAAAUGAGCAUUUCUGUUUUUCUUGAGUUUAAAAACAAGAAGUUCUCUGUCAUUCACUUCCUAAUAUCUGAAAAGGAGGUGUAGUGGUGAGAGGUGUGAAGGAGGUCCGGAGGUGGAGGAGGUGUGGUGGUGAUAAGUUUGGAAGAGGUCUGGAGGUAGAGGAAGUGUGGUAGUGAGAGGUGUGGAGGAGGUCUGGAGGGGGAGGAGGUGUGGUGGUGAUAAGUUUGGAGGAGGUCUGGAGGUAGAGGAAGUGUGGUGGUGAGAGGUGUGGAGGAGGUCUGGAGGGGGAGGUGUGGAGGGGGAGGAGGUGUGGUGGUGAGAGGUGUGGAGGAGGUCUGGAGGGGGAGGUGUGGAGGGGAAGGAGGUCUGGAGGUAGAGGAAGUGUGGUGGUGAGAGGUGUGGAGGAGGUCUGGAGGGGGAGGUGUGGAGGAGGUGUGGAGGGGGAGGAGGUGUGGUGGUGAGAGGUGUGGAGGUGGUGUGGAGGGGGAGGAGGUGUGGUGGUGAGAGGUGUGGAGGAGGUGUGAAGGGGGAGGAGGUGUGGUGGUGAGAGGUGUGGAGGAGGUCUGGAGUGGGAGGUGUGGAGGAGGUGUGGAGGGGGAGGAGGUGUGGUGGUGAGAGGUGUGGAGGAGGUGUGAAGGGGGAGGAGGUGUGGUGGUGAGAGGUGUGGAGGAGGUCUGGAGGGGGAGGUGUGGAGGAGCUGUGGAGGGGGAGGAGGUGUGGUGGUGAGAGGUGUGGAGGAGACUGGCGUCUGACUCAAACAGAACAUUCUUUAGGUUUCCAGAUUUCCAACUGAUCUUGAGAUAGUUACCCCUGAGGUCAUUACCCAGUCAGGGUCCGUAAGGACCUCAAACAACAACGCUGUAUAUUUAUACACACACACACACAGACAGACAUCAUGAGACCUGGUGCCUGAUGGGUAAACGGCAGUAGGUGUAGCCAGCUCCACAUCGCUAACGGAAAUGUCCGGCAGUCCCUCCCCUACAGGCCAUCGCCACAACGACCCACCAGACAAUAGAGGACAGGAUCCUCCACUCUGAAAGGAAGGCAGGUCACUUCCUGUAGCACUGUGCUAGCAGCUCAGUUAAUACAUGCGUGUGUUUUUCUGUGUGUCAUAGAGGUGAAUAGAGGGAACAAAUCCAUACCAGUGUCCCUAUUUAUCACUUUAAUAAUAAUACAAAAUCCCUCCUGAUAAAGCAUUCGGAUCGGCCUGUUCUAAAAGCCAAAUCUAAUUUCACUGCUCCACAAAUUAAGGGAACAUGUAAAUCAUACAUUGGGUCUCAAAGUAAACAGUCUGUUAUUUCAAUUGUUUACUUUGAUUUUCGUUGUGAGUUUGAAUCCAGCCCUCAAUCGGUUGGUGAUUUUGGUUUCCAUUGACCGUUGUUACAUCAUUUUGUUCUCAGUGAAUUACACAAUAUACAGCAAAGAUUUUGAUGUAUCACCACCACACCUCAUCCACCUCCAUCCACCUGGGCUGGAUUCAAACACACCGAAAAUCAAAGAAAACAACUGAAAUCACAGGCUGUUCCAACUUGCAUGAAUUACAUCACAGUGACUCAAUGUGACUCAGUAGUGUGUAUGACCUCCAUGUGCCUGUAUGCACUCCCAACAACGUCUGGGCAUGCUCCUGAUGAGAUGGCAGAUGGUGUCCUGGGGGAUCUCCUCCCAGACCUGGAUCAGGGCAUCAGUGAGCUCCUGGGCAGUCUGUGGCAUUUCUUGGCGGCGUCGGAUGCACUGAUACAUAACGUCCCAGAGGGUCUCAAUUGAUUUCAGGACAGGGGAAAAUGAGGGCCAGUCAAUGGCAUCAAUGCCUUCGUCAUCCAGGAACUGCAUACACACUUUGGCCACAUGAGGCCGGGCAUUGUCCUGCACCAGGAGGAACCCAGGGCCCACAGCACCAGGUUAAGGUCUGACGAUGGGUCUGAGGUUUUCAUCCCGGUACCUAACAGCAGUCAGGGUACCGCUGGCUAGCACAUGGAGGUCUCUGCGACCCUCCAAGGGUAUGCCUCCCAAGACCAUCAAUUUACAAAGACAAUGGGAUUCAUCAUUAUAAGGAGGAAACAAUUCUGUGGUUUAAGAACAUGUCAUAAAGCUUUUCUUAAAGCCUUUCUCAAGAAAUUCAUUUAAUUAGAAACGUAGGAAGAUUUUGGUGAAUGAGGCCCAUUGAUCUGAGCCUCCCUGGGAGAAAGCAAAAUGACCCAUUAACCUAUUUUAAAUGCAUUAAACUCAGAGAUCUGAAACAACAAAAAUCUAAGAUCAAGCUAAUGUAGAGUUACUUGUUAAACAACACUUGAUGCACAAUUCAGGUCAGUAUUGGCCAAACAAUGUAAAACAAAUGUCUUUUAGAUUCUCCCUGAAAUCAACCAGUGAGGUUUCAAGAUUGACAACUCAACUGAGUCCGCCAGCUUUUGUCAGCGGUUCACUUCCCAAGCUGAUGCUUUAUCCUGUGUUCCUAUUCUCCUUUACUUCUGUGUGCCUGGCUGACACCUCUGCUUAGGUGUUGGCCCAUUUCUUCAAGCUCAACAUCAACAAAACAGAGCUGCUCUUCCUCAGGGGGGGUCCACCCACACAAAUGCACUAAGAUACAGAACACAGAGAGGGAGAGGGUAUGUUUAGCCAGAGCCCAGAGACAACAAAGUGUAUGGCAGCUGCUCCGCCCUCGACCGUAAAGCACUUCAAAGGGUGAUUAAAACAGCAGAGAGCUUCACAAGGUCUGACCUGCCAUCCCUGCAGGAUCUCUACACAGAGAGGUGUAGGAGGAGGAGCAAACGGAUCAUUACAGAUCCCAGCCACCCAUGACAUGGACUGUUUACCAAGCUGCCGUCAGGCAGAAGGUACAGGAGUAUUCAGUCCAAAACUAACGGGCUAUGGGACAGCUUCUUUCCACAGGCUGUAAGGCUGCUCAACUCAGGAACCCCUCUUCCCUUCCAUCUAUAGUCCCAUGCACACCUGUCACUUUAUAUCAUGUACACCUGUCA